AACGAACGCUGGCGGCAGGCCUAAUACAUGCAAGUCGAACGAACCUUUUAGGUGAGUGGCGCACGGGUGCGUAACACGUGGGAAUUUACACUUCGGUAAGGAACAACACAGAGAAAUUUGUGCUAAUACCUUAUAAUGACUCCGGUCCAAAGAUUUAUCGCCGAAGGAUAAGCCCGCGCUAGAUUAGAUAGUUGGUGAGGUAAAAGCUCACCAAGUCGACGAUCUAUAGCUGGUCUUAGAGGAUGAUCAGCCACACUGGAACUGAGACACGGUCCAGACUCCUACGGGAGGCAGCAGUAAGGAAUAUUGCGCAAUGGGGGAAACCCUGACGCAGCCAUGCCGCGUGAAUGAAGAAGGCCCUAGGGUUGUAAAAUUCUUUCAGAUGCGAAGAUAAUGACGGUACCAUCAGAAGAAGCUCCGGCUAAAUUCG
RNAcentral lists this ribosomal RNA (430 nucleotides) under uncultured Alphaproteobacteria bacterium. Its description in RNAcentral is "bacterial SSU rRNA". It matches the Rfam family "Bacterial small subunit ribosomal RNA", at positions 29 to 505 of the family's 1533-position model. Lineage: Bacteria; Pseudomonadati; Pseudomonadota; Alphaproteobacteria. The record is from RNAcentral.